Molecule: ribosomal RNA, 1435 nt
Filed under: uncultured bacterium
Lineage: Bacteria
Description: bacterial SSU rRNA
Rfam family: Bacterial small subunit ribosomal RNA
Source: RNAcentral
AGAGUUUGAUCCUGGCUCAGGAUGAACGCCGGCGGUGUGCCUAAUACAUGCAAGUCGUACGCGUUGGCCCAACUGAUUUGAAGUGCUUGCACGGAUCUGACGUUGGUUUACCAACGAGUGGCGGACGGGUGAGUAACACGUAGGUAACCUGCCCAGAAGCGGGGGACAACACUUGGAAACAGGUGCUAAUACCGCAUAACAAUUCAAAUCGCAUGAUUUGAAUUUGAAAGAUGGUUUCGGCUAUCACUUCUGGAUGGACCUGCGGCGCAUUAGCUUGUUGGUGGGGUAACGGCCUACCAAGGCAGUGAUGCGUAGCCGAGUUGAGAGACUGAUCGGCCACAAUGGGACUGAGACACGGCCCAUACUCCUACGGGAGGCAGCAGUAGGGAAUCUUCCACAAUGGGCGCAAGCCUGAUGGAGCAACACCGCGUGAGUGAAGAAGGUUUUCGGAUCGUAAAGCUCUGUUGUUGAAGAAGAACGUGCAUGAGAGUAACUGUUCAUGCAGUGACGGUAUUCAACCAGAAAGUCACGGCUAACUACGUGCCAGCAGCCGCGGUAAUACGUAGGUGGCAAGCGUUAUCCGGAUUUAUUGGGCGUAAAGAGAGUGCAGGCGGUUUCUUAAGUCUGAUGUGAAAGCCUUCGGCUCAACCGAAGAAGUGCAUCGGAAACUGGGAAACUUGAGUACAGAAGAGGGCAGUGGAACUCCAUGUGUAGCGGUGGAAUGCGUAGAUAUAUGGAAGAACACCAGUGGCGAAGGCGGCUGCCUGGUCUGUAACUGACGCUGAGACUCGAAAGCAUGGGUAGCGAACAGGAUUUAGAUACCCUGGUAGUCCAUGCCGUAAACGAUGAGUGCUAGGUGUUGGAGGGUUUCCGCCCUUCAGUGCCGGAGCUAACGCAUUAAGCACUCCGCCUGGGGAGUACGACCGCAAGGUUGAAACUCAAAGGAAUUGACGGGGGCCCGCACAAGCGGUGGAGCAUGUGGUUUAAUUCGAAGCAACGCGAAGAACCUUACCAGGUCUUGACAUCCCUCUGACCGUCCUAGAGAUAGGAUUUUCCUUCGGGACAGAGGUGACAGGUGGUGCAUGGUUGUCGUCAGCUCGUGUCGUGAGAUGUUGGGUUAAGUCCCGCAACGAGCGCAACCCCUAUUGUUAGUUGCCAUCAUUGAGUUGGGCACUCUAGCGAGACUGCCGGUAAUAAACCGGAGGAAGGUGGGGAUGACGUCAAAUCAUCAUGCCCCUUAUGACCUGGGCUACACACGUGCUACAAUGGCUGGUACAACGAGUCGCAAGUCGGUGACGGCAAGCUAAUCUCUUAAAGCCAGUCUCAGUUCGGAUUGUAGGCUGCAACUCGCCUACAUGAAGUCGGAAUCGCUAGUAAUCGCGGAUCAGCACGCCGCGGUGAAUACGUUCCCGGGCCUUGCACACACCGCCCGUCA